Molecule: ribosomal RNA, 467 nt
Filed under: uncultured bacterium
Lineage: Bacteria
Description: partial 16S ribosomal RNA
Rfam family: Bacterial small subunit ribosomal RNA
Source: RNAcentral
ACGAACGCUGGCGGCGCGCCUAACACAUGCAAGUCGAACGGAGCUGAGAGAAGCUUGCUUUUCUUAGCUUCGUGGCGAACGGGUGAGUAACGCGUGAGUAACCUGCCCUGGAGUGGGGGACAACAGUUGGAAACGACUGCUAAUACCGCAUAAGCCCACGAUCCGGCAUCGGAUUGAGGGAAAAGGAUUUAUUCGCUUCAGGAUGGACUCGCGUCCAAUUAGCUAGUUGGUGAGGUAACGGCCCACCAAGGCGACGAUUGGUAGCCGGACUGAGAGGUUGAACGGCCACAUUGGGACUGAGACACGGCCCAGACUCCUACGGGAGGCAGCAGUGGGGGAUAUUGCACAAUGGGGGAAACCCUGAUGCAGCGACGCCGCGUGGAGGAAGAAGGUUUUCGGAUUGUAAACUCCUGUCGUUAGGGACGAUAAUGACGGUACCUAACAAGAAAGCACCGGCUAACUACGUG